UAAAUGGAGAAGACCAGUUUGGUGAAGCAUUCAGAAAUACCAAGAAAGCCCUUUUGUUUUCUUCACAAUUGAAAUCCAAAAAUAGGAAAAAUGGAGGACAAACUGGUAAAAAAACCUUUAACUAAAAUAGAGAUAAAAGCAUCCAAACGGAGAGUUCAACAAGCUCCGCGAACGUGGGAUUCAACAGUCUCCACGUUCUACAAACUACCAGCACCAUCUACACUAACUUUCCAAGCAGUUUUCUCCACAACCAUUGACACAAACAUGUUCAAUUUUCAAACUGAUAUUUGGACACACACAGAGAGACAUGCGAUGCUAUUUGAAUUAAUUUGGGCCAAGAUGAUUCUAUUAGGCUCCAAAGUUCAAAGGUUUGAGUAACUUUGGGCAUGAAAUUUGAUUCCUUUCAAACCAAAAUUUAUCUGCUCCAACCCCUUUGCGAUGGGAACGACGACUUGCAAAAGUAGGGAUGAAGAGUACUUCUCCUUCGACCCAUUCAUGGAAUAAGUGUGUAAUUGUCAGUUGCAUUGAAUAUCAUUAGAGAUUGUUUUAGUAAGGAAAACCUCAAAAGAGACCUUCACAUUGCCAAUGAAGGAAUAACGAUGGUUAAAACGUUCAAUGUAACUACCCGAGAGAUGUUACAAAAAGCCAGUGAAGACGUCUGCAACCUUGGGUGGGUUAAUCAAUCGGCAUUUACAGUUCCAGUUGGAGCGAGUUCAAAUGCUGGAGAGAAGCAUUUGUGGAUGACUCUUGAAUGACUCCAUCAAUAUAUGGGUUCAAUUACAAAGGAGACAUUUUGCAAGUGAAUGUGCUUAUUUUCAACUGGGUUUAUGAACAUUUUAAUGAGAGACUGAGAAUCUUGUUGGAUGAAACACGCACUCCCUCUUUUACAUCUGAAAACCCACAAACCCCUAAAAUCGCUAACCUUCAAGAACGAUUUGAGCUUUUGUUAGAGAUGAAAAUUUGAAUAAGAAGAAGACGGCAAGGAAUUUGUUUGGAGGAUUAAACAAUUUCAGUUCAAAGACAUAAUUUUUACAUUUAUCCCAUUGAAAUACAAAUUUGGGAGGAUCAAGAGAAGAAUAGAGAUUGGAUAGUUAGGUUAUUUUGUCUUAUUUAUUUAUCAAUUUUAAACUCAAAAUAACAUUUGAACAAGUUUAAGUUUUUUUGACCAAGGUGGAAUUCAACCAUUUUUCGUGGUA
Malus domestica (apple) is the source of this 1196-nucleotide long non-coding RNA. RefSeq lists it as uncharacterized. Lineage: Eukaryota; Viridiplantae; Streptophyta; Magnoliopsida; Rosales; Rosaceae. The record is from RefSeq and is a predicted model, not a curated record.